UACGAAGGGGGCUAGCGUUGCUCGGAAUGACUGGGCGUAAAGGGCGCGUAGGCGGCUCAUACAGUCAGAUGUGAAAUUCCUGGGCUUAACCUGGGGGCUGCAUUUGAUACGUGUGGGCUUGAGUGGGGAAGAGGGUCGUGGAAUUCCCAGUGUAGAGGUGAAAUUCGUAGAUAUUGGGAAGAACACCGAUGGCGAAGGCAGCCAUCUGGACCGACACUGACGCUGAGGCGCGAAAGCGUGGGGAGCAAACAGG
This 253-nucleotide ribosomal RNA is filed under the name uncultured bacterium. RNAcentral describes it as "partial 16S ribosomal RNA". It matches the Rfam family "Bacterial small subunit ribosomal RNA", at positions 524 to 776 of the family's 1533-position model. The record is from RNAcentral.